Molecule: ribosomal RNA, 393 nt
Filed under: uncultured bacterium
Lineage: Bacteria
Description: partial 16S ribosomal RNA
Rfam family: Bacterial small subunit ribosomal RNA
Source: RNAcentral
AUACGGAAGGUCCGGGCGUUAUCCGGAUUUAUUGGGUUUAAAGGGAGCGCAGGCGGAGAUGCAAGCGUGACGUCAAAUUUCGGGGCUCAACCCCGUCUCGCGUCGCGAACUGCGUCCCUUGGUUGCGGGAAGGGGAGGCGGAACUCGUGGUGUAGCGGUGAAAUGCAUAGAUAUCACGAAGAACUCCGAUCGCGAAGGCAGCCUUCCGGCCCGUCAACGACGCUCAUGCUCGAAGGUGCGGGUAUCAAACAGGAUUAGAUUCCCUGGUAGUCCGCACAGUAAACGAUGGACACCCGCGGUUUGGCCUGUAUGGCUGAGCCGCCAAGCGAAAGCGUUAAGUGUCCCACCUGGGGAGUACGCCGGCAACGGUGAAACUCAAAUGAAUUGACGGGG